CGGCGCUGUUCACCGACGCCGACGGUCGCGGUCUGCAGGACCGCGCCACCGCCACCGCGGUGGUGCGAAGCCGCUAGCGCCGGC
Molecule: transfer RNA, 84 nt
Filed under: Mycobacterium terrae
Lineage: Bacteria; Bacillati; Actinomycetota; Actinomycetes; Mycobacteriales; Mycobacteriaceae
Description: Mycolicibacter terrae tRNA-Cys(gca)
Source: RNAcentral